UACGAGGGGGGGCGAGCGUUGUUCGGAAUUAUUGGGCGUAAAGGGCGCGUAGGCGGCCUGUUGCGUCCGCUGUGAAAGCCCGGGGCUUAACCCCGGGUCUGCAGUGGAUACGGGCAGGCUAGAGGUAGGUAGGGGAGAAUGGAAUUCCCGGUGUAGCGGUGAAAUGCGCAGAUAUCGGGAGGAACACCGGUGGCGAAGGCGGUUCUCUGGGCCUUACCUGACGCUGAGGAGCGAAAGCGUGGGGAGCGAACAGG
This 254-nucleotide ribosomal RNA is filed under the name uncultured bacterium. RNAcentral describes it as "partial 16S ribosomal RNA". It matches the Rfam family "Bacterial small subunit ribosomal RNA", at positions 524 to 776 of the family's 1533-position model. The record is from RNAcentral.